RNAcentral lists this ribosomal RNA (465 nucleotides) under Vreelandella stevensii. Its description in RNAcentral is "partial 16S ribosomal RNA". It matches the Rfam family "Bacterial small subunit ribosomal RNA", at positions 338 to 795 of the family's 1533-position model. The record is from RNAcentral. Lineage: Bacteria; Pseudomonadati; Pseudomonadota; Gammaproteobacteria; Oceanospirillales; Halomonadaceae.
CCUACGGGUGGCUGCAGUGGGGAAUAUUGGACAAUGGGCGAAAGCCUGAUCCAGCCAUGCCGCGUGUGUGAAGAAGGCCUUCGGGUUGUAAAGCACUUUCAGUGGGGAAGAAAGCCUUGGGUCUAAUACCCUCGAGGAAGGACAUCACCCACAGAAGAAGCACCGGCUAACUCCGUGCCAGCAGCCGCGGUAAUACGGAGGGUGCGAGCGUUAAUCGGAAUUACUGGGCGUAAAGCGCGCGUAGGCGGUCUGAUAAGCCGGUUGUGAAAGCCCCGGGCUCAACCUGGGAACGGCAUCCGGAACUGUCAGGCUAGAGUGCAGGAGAGGAAGGUAGAAUUCCCGGUGUAGCGGUGAAAUGCGUAGAGAUCGGGAGGAAUACCAGUGGCGAAGGCGGCCUUCUGGACUGACACUGACGCUGAGGUGCGAAAGCGUGGGUAGCAAACAGGAUUAGAUACCCCAGUAGUC